This 438-nucleotide ribosomal RNA is filed under the name uncultured bacterium. RNAcentral describes it as "bacterial SSU rRNA". It matches the Rfam family "Bacterial small subunit ribosomal RNA", at positions 335 to 795 of the family's 1533-position model. The record is from RNAcentral.
ACUCCUACGGGAGGCAGCAGUGGGAAUAUUGGACAAUGGGGGAAACCCUGAUCCAGCCAUGCCGCGUGUGUGAAGAAGGCCUUCGGGUUGCAGGUUAAUACCCUGUAGCUGUGACGUUACCCACAGAAGAAGCACCGGCUAACUCCGUGCCAGCAGCCGCGGUAAUACGGAGGGUGCAAGCGUUAAUCGGAAUUACUGGGCGUAAAGAGCUCGUAGGUGGUUUGUCGCGUUGUCCGUGAAAUCUCACAGCUUAACUGUGAGCGUGCGGGCGAUACGGGCAGACUGGAGUACUGCAGGGGAGACUGGAAUUCCUGGUGUAGCGGUGGAAUGCGCAGAUAUCAGGAGGAACACCGGUGGCGAAGGCGGGUCUCUGGGCAGUAACUGACGCUGAGGAGCGAAAGCGUGGGGAGCGAACAGGAUUAGAUACCCUGGUAGGUC